Molecule: transfer RNA, 63 nt
Filed under: Ictidomys tridecemlineatus (thirteen-lined ground squirrel)
Lineage: Eukaryota; Metazoa; Chordata; Mammalia; Rodentia; Sciuridae
Description: Spermophilus tridecemlineatus (thirteen-lined ground squirrel) tRNA
Rfam family: tRNA
About the family: Transfer RNA (tRNA) molecules are approximately 80 nucleotides in length. Their secondary structure includes four short double-helical elements and three loops (D, anti-codon, and T loops).
Source: Rfam by way of RNAcentral
GGGGAUGUAGCUCAGUAGUAGAGCACCUGCCUAGCAUGCAUGAGGCCCUGCGUUCCAUCCCCA